UACGGAGGGGGCUAGCGUUGUCCGAAUUUACUGGGCGUAAAGCGCGCGUAGGCGGGUUGGCAAGUCCGCUGUGAAAGCCCGGAGCUUAACUCCGGAGGGUCGGUGGAUACUGCCAGUCUUGAAGGUGCUAGGGGGAGAUGGAAUUACCGGUGUAGCGGUGAAAUGCGUAGAUAUCGGUAGGAACACCAGUGGCGAAGGCGGUCUCCUGGGGCAUUCUUGACGCUGAGGCGCGAAAGCUGGGGGAGCAAACGGG
Molecule: ribosomal RNA, 253 nt
Filed under: uncultured bacterium
Lineage: Bacteria
Description: partial 16S ribosomal RNA
Rfam family: Bacterial small subunit ribosomal RNA
Source: RNAcentral